AUUGAACGCUGGCGGCAUGCCUUACACAUGCAAGUCGAACGGCAGCACGGGUGCUUGCACCUGGUGGCGAGUGGCGAACGGGUGAGUAAUGCAUCGGAACGUGCCCAUGAGUGGGGGAUAGCCCGGCGAAAGCCGGAUUAAUACCGCAUACGCCCUUAGGGGGAAAGCGGGGGAUCUUCGGACCUCGCGCUAUUGGAGCGGCCGAUGUCGGAUUAGCUAGUAGGUGAGGUAAAGGCUCACCUAGGCGACGAUCCGUAGCUGGUCUGAGAGGAUGAUCAGCCACACUGGGACUGAGACACGGCCCAGACUCCUACGGGAGGCAGCAGUGGGGAAUUUUGGACAAUGGGCGCAAGCCUGAUCCAGCCAUGCCGCGUGAGUGAAGAAGGCCUCGG
RNAcentral lists this ribosomal RNA (392 nucleotides) under uncultured bacterium. RNAcentral's name for it is "bacterial SSU rRNA". It matches the Rfam family "Bacterial small subunit ribosomal RNA", at positions 28 to 420 of the family's 1533-position model. The record is from RNAcentral.